RNAcentral lists this ribosomal RNA (471 nucleotides) under uncultured soil bacterium. RNAcentral's name for it is "bacterial SSU rRNA". It matches the Rfam family "Bacterial small subunit ribosomal RNA", at positions 8 to 472 of the family's 1533-position model. The record is from RNAcentral.
AGAGUUUGAUCCUGGCUCAGAGCGAACGCUGGCGGCGUGCUUAACACAUGCAAGUCGAGUGCGCAGUUUUCUGUAGCAAUACAGGGAAUGGGCGCACGGCGCACGGGUGAGUAACACGUGGGCAACCUGCCCUCCAAAAGGGGAUAACCCGCCGAAAGGCGGGCUAAUACCGUAUGACAUUACGAUUGCUUCGGCGAAUGUAAUCAAAGGCCGCAAGGCCGUUGGGGGAGGGGCCCGCGCCCGAUUAGCUAGUUGGCGAGGUAACGGCUCACCAAGGCUUUGAUCGGUAGCCGGUCUGAGAGGAUGGCCGGCCACACUGGAACUGAGACACGGUCCAGACUCCUACGGGAGGCAGCAGUGGGGAAUCUUGCGCAAUGGGCGAAAGCCUGACGCAGCGACGCCGCGUGGGGGAUGAAGCAUCUCGGUGUGUAAACCCCUUUCGACCCGGAAGAAUGUCCCGCAAGGGAUUGA